RNAcentral lists this ribosomal RNA (407 nucleotides) under uncultured bacterium. RNAcentral's name for it is "partial 16S ribosomal RNA". It matches the Rfam family "Bacterial small subunit ribosomal RNA", at positions 28 to 526 of the family's 1533-position model. The record is from RNAcentral.
GACGAACGCUGGCGGCGUGCCUAAUACAUGCAAGUAGGACGCAGUUGCGAACGGGUGAGUAACGCGUAGGUAACUACCUAUUAGAGGGGGAUAACUAUUGGAAACGAUAGCUAAUACCGCAUACUAGUAGAUGGACCUGCGUUGUAUUAGCUAGUAGGUAGGGUAAUGGCCUACCUAGGCAACGAUACAUCACCGAGCGUGGAGGGUGGUCGGCCACAACGGGACUGGGACACGGCCCAGACUCCUACGGGAGGCAGCAGGAGGGAAUCUUCGGCAAUUGGGGGAACCCUGACCGAGCAACGCCGCGUGAGUGAAGAAGGUUUUCGGAUCGUAAAGCUCUGUUGUUAAGGAAGCGGUACUUAACCAGAAAGGGACGGCUAACUACGUGCCAGUCGCCGCGGUAAUUC